GAGUUUUUCCUGCCCCCUUAGGUUCUUCUAUUAAUCUUCUUCUUCCUUCGAAAUCAGAUCUUAGAGUUAGAGCUUCCUGCCUCCCUGAUCAUUAUCUUCUUCGUAACAACGGCAGCAACACUAUCCACCACUUCCGCAGUAUUAAACCCAAAACAUUGACGUCUCCAAUUAUGCUGCAGAUGUUUAUAUCAGUUGAGUUUAUGCGGAUGAUAAAAUUUCAUUAUUAUGAAGAUAACCUUUGGUCUAAAGUUAGGGAUUUAGUUAACUGGGUUUGAAUCAGAUUUUGAUUUGGUCUAAUGUAUCAUCUAAAUUUUCAAAAUUCAAAGCUAGGGUUUAGUUGUAUCAAAAUUUAGGGGAGAUUGAAUUGAAUCUUUAACCGAUUGGAGGUGGUGGUGAUGGUGUGUUUAUGUUUUGAUGAAGACAAUAUUGUAGUGGUGAUUGUCCAGUAGAAGAAGGAAGCUCUGUACAUUUUUGUGAUCAUUUUUGAGUGCUCCCGUAGUAAAAUCCGUGUAGUUACCUUCCAAUAUGGGUUGACUUGAUGAUGGUUAUGAAAAUCGUGCUGGUGACGUUGUUAAGAAGAAGGAAGCUCUGUACAGUUUGACUCGCCAUUAAUGGCGGCUAGAGAAAGUAGAAGAAAGCCUUAGGGUUUGGUCUUGAGCCGUUAGAUCUGAUAUUAAUAAGGAACGGCUGGAUACGUUUUAUUGCUAGUCCACAUGUAAACAGAUUUUUAACGCUGUUGAGUAAUUAUCGGUGUGUUAAAAACAAUACAUAUUUCUUAACAGACUGUUGCCCACUGUUAGGCCAACGUCUCUUGACUUGACAGUCAAUGACGGAUCCAGGUACCAAAUCUUAAUUUUUUAAUUGUCGAGUGCCAAAUCAAUGUGCUGGUCAUUUGCUGGAUGCCAAACAUUAAAUAUCCCUUUCUUUUAUUCUUAACUUUCAUUCCUCUUUUUUAUUGUAUUCAAGCGUUUUCAUAUGAGUUUAUUGGUUACUUAUGCGUGCCUGUUUUCCUGUAAUAGGCUUUAUCACAUCUGGAUGUAUGAUGUAUCAAUGCAACCCAAGUAGGAGAAGGGAACAUUGGAAGGUGUAAAUGUAAAUGAAGAGCCUAAAGUUGAUUCUGACAAUGAAUAUGCAAGGAAGAAGAAAGCUGCACAAGCAGAUACACCUACUAGCGUUGCACCUGCCAAGAUUGCAAGGCAUCUAACUAAGCAGCUGCAUUACUAAGAAAGACCAAUUGUUAGAUAUCGGCUGAAGGAAAUGCGAAGCCAAUCAGAAAUUCCAGAACCUAUUACUCAGGUUAAUCAUAUUGCAAUUACAAGUGUACUUGGAAAUAGAUCAUGCGGAAAUCCAAUUCAACACCUUGAUGAUUGCAUUUGAAGCUUUGAUUUUUAAUCGUUGGUUUUGCAGGCUCUUUCCUUUUGUGUUUUUUUAGACUGUUGAUGUAUGUUCAUCUUAU
Molecule: long non-coding RNA, 1456 nt
Organism: Papaver somniferum (opium poppy)
Lineage: Eukaryota; Viridiplantae; Streptophyta; Magnoliopsida; Ranunculales; Papaveraceae
Exons: 3
Source: RefSeq, a predicted model, not a curated record